Molecule: RNA transcript, 1347 nt
Organism: Erinaceus europaeus (western European hedgehog)
Lineage: Eukaryota; Metazoa; Chordata; Mammalia; Eulipotyphla; Erinaceidae
Gene: VTI1B
Gene name: vesicle transport through interaction with t-SNAREs 1B
Exons: 3
Source: RefSeq, a predicted model, not a curated record
UAUUCUUUAACCCCAUGGGAGUAUGGACCCAGGGUCACCAUGGGAUGCAGAAGGUGGGAGGUCUGGCUUCUGUAAUUGCUUUCCCGCUAAACGUGGGCGAUAAAUAAAGAUUUUAAAAAUUAAAAAAAAAAUUGAAAAAGCCUGUAAAGUGAACAGAUGCGCUGCCCGAGUCCUGCCAUUGCAGGUUGAAUAUUAGCGGUGGGGACCACAGCCUGGGUAUGACUUCUGAAAACACGUGACUUGGUCACCUGCCUCCCUCUUCUACCCCCACUACUGGGGGCUGACAUGACCCUUGCCUGGAAGGCUGAACAUUUUAACACUUAAUAAGAGCAGCACAAAGUGCGAAAAUAGAGAAGACCACUCCAAUGGCGUUACGCCAGGCUCCCCAACUAUGUAUGCCGGCAGGGCUCAGAUGCUGGCAAAAACACCGCCCCCAGCAACGCGUGACAGCCUAAGCUCAGUGACUUCGGCUCCGAACUACAACUCCCGGCAUGCAUUUCAACACAAGCUACUCGCCAGAAGGCGGGCCCAGGAGAAAGGAAGUCCGCGCUGCCCGUCCCGCGGUUUCUCACAGUCCCUUCCGCUGUGACCUUUCCCUAACCCCAACUGGGUAUUUAUUGGGGCUUCGGGACUGUGACCCCCUCAGCAACAGAGCCACUCUCUUGCCAAGACGCGACCAACAGAGCAACCAGACGGACUUUCCGUCAGGCUUUCGCGCCCGGCGCCUAAUGAAUGACGACACGAAGGGGGUGGGCGUUCUGGCUCCGGAGGACCCCUGGUCGACCCGGAAGCGGCCGGGGCAGGGCGGUGCAGGCAGUGGUCUCCGUGAUGCCUGCAGGGCUGGGCGGCUGACGUCCGCGCGAGGAGCGGGCCCAGUGCCCGGAAUCUCGGCGGCUGCCACUGCUCGAGCUCGGCCUGAGCCAUGGCCACCUCCGCCGCCUCCUCGGAGCAUUUUGAGAAGCUGCAUGAGAUCUUUCGCGGCCUCCAUGAAGACCUACGAGGGGUUCCGGACCGGCUCCUGGGCAUGGCAGGAACCGCCACCAGGUUCCAGAUGCUAGCAUGAUGCCAACCAGACUUCCCUGGACAGACAACCCCACCAAUGGGUCCUGGAGCUCCGGUUCCCCAGAACCCCGCUCCACUAGGAGAGAGAGAGGCAGGCUGGGAGUAUGGAUCGUCCUGUCAACAUCCAUGUUCAGCGGGGAAGCAAUUACAGAAGCCAGACCUUCCACCUUCUGCAUCCCACAAUGACCUUGGGUCCGUACUCCCAGAGGGUUAAAGAAUAGGAAAGAAGAGAAGAAAAAGCUGAUUAAUGAUUUUGAUGAAAAGCAACAGGAAGCAAAUGAAACG